RNAcentral lists this ribosomal RNA (367 nucleotides) under uncultured bacterium. Its description in RNAcentral is "bacterial SSU rRNA". It matches the Rfam family "Bacterial small subunit ribosomal RNA", at positions 527 to 896 of the family's 1533-position model. The record is from RNAcentral.
GGAGGGUGCAAGCGUUAUCCGGAUUCACUGGGUUUAAAGGGUGCGUAGGCGGGCAGGUAAGUCCGUGGUGAAAUCUCUGAGCUUAACUCAGAAACUGCCAUGGAUACUAUUUGUCUUGAAUAUUGUGGAGGUAAGCGGAAUAUGUCAUGUAGCGGUGAAAUGCUUAGAUAUGACAUAGAACACCAAUUGCGAAGGCAGCUUACUACACAGUUAUUGACGCUGAGGCACGAAAGCGUGGGGAUCAAACAGGAUUAGAUACCCUGGUAGUCCACGCCCUAAACGAUGAUUACUCGACAUCAGCGAUACACUGUUGGUGUCUGAGCGAAAGCAUUAAGUAAUCCACCUGGGAAGUACGAUCGCAAGAUUG